This 233-nucleotide unclassified non-coding RNA is filed under the name Hevea brasiliensis (rubber tree). The record is from RNAcentral. Lineage: Eukaryota; Viridiplantae; Streptophyta; Magnoliopsida; Malpighiales; Euphorbiaceae.
GGGAAAUCCAACAAAUUACGUAAUGAAGAAUUCAUCUUACUUCACUUUCGAACGCCAUUCACUGCUAAUGAUGCUGCAUACUUCCUUUUACGUUUAGAGGUACAAGAUGCUUUGCAUGGUGAUGGUGAAUACUGUAGGCGGUAACUGAUGAGUGAUGGACCAAAAAUACUGAAUUUCCCUGACUUGCUAAAAGCAGUUUCAGCAUCGGCACGCCUUUUGAAAACAACUUUUAG